ACGGCCAUACCAUGCUGAAUAUACCGGUUCUCGUUCGAUCACCGAAGUCAAGCAUCAUCGGAUGCGGUCAGUACUUGGGAUGGUGACUACCUGGGAACACCGCGUGCCGUU
This 111-nucleotide ribosomal RNA is filed under the name Caerostris darwini. Lineage: Eukaryota; Metazoa; Arthropoda; Arachnida; Araneae; Araneidae. The record is from RNAcentral.